GACGAACGCUGGCGGCGUGCUUAACACAUGCAAGUCGAACGGAAAGGCCUCUUUCGGGGGGUACUCGUGUGGCGAACGGGUGAGUAACACGUGAGUAACCUGCCCUUGUCUUUGGGAUAACUUCCGGAAACUGGGGCUAGUACCGGACAGGUGCUCCUGUUGCAUGGUGGGGGUUGGAGAGUUUCGGCGGUUGGGGGUGGACUGGCGGUGUAUCCGCUUUGUGGUGGGAUAUUGGUUUACCAAGGCUUUACCGGGUAGCCGGUCUGUGGGAGUGAGGGGCGACAUUGGGACCGAGAGGCGGCAGAGACUGCGAAGGGAGGGAGCAGGGGGGAAGAUUGCAGAAUGAGUGGAAGCCUGAUGCAGCAACGCCGUGUGCGGGAUGACGGCCUUCGGGUUGUAGACCGCUUGUGCUCAUGACGAAGCUUUGUGUGACGGUAGUGGGUAAAGAAGCACCGGCUAACUACGUG
RNAcentral lists this ribosomal RNA (467 nucleotides) under uncultured bacterium. RNAcentral's name for it is "partial 16S ribosomal RNA". It matches the Rfam family "Bacterial small subunit ribosomal RNA", at positions 28 to 507 of the family's 1533-position model. The record is from RNAcentral.